AAAAAAAAACAAAAAAAACAAAAUAAUGCAGCCACAGGACCCAGGAAUUCCCUGUCAGUUCAGUGGUUAGGUCUCCGGGCUUUCACUGCCAAAAGCCUGGGUUCAAUCCCUGGUUGGGGAAUUAAGAUCCUACAAACUGCACAAUGCAGC
This is a long non-coding RNA of Cervus elaphus (red deer), 150 nucleotides long. RefSeq lists it as uncharacterized. The record is from RefSeq and is a predicted model, not a curated record. Lineage: Eukaryota; Metazoa; Chordata; Mammalia; Artiodactyla; Cervidae. The transcript has 2 exons.